Cricetulus griseus (Chinese hamster) is the source of this 299-nucleotide unclassified non-coding RNA. Its record names the gene 7SK. It matches the Rfam family "7SK RNA". Rfam says of the family: 7SK was discovered as an abundant small nuclear RNA in the mid-70s but a possible function has only recently been suggested. Two independent studies have found that 7SK RNA binds the CDK9/cyclin T complex (known as elongation factor P-TEFb). NCBI's taxonomy places the organism in Eukaryota, Metazoa, Chordata, Mammalia, Rodentia, Cricetidae. The record is from Ensembl.
AGAUGUGAGGACAAUCUGGCUGCAACAUCUGCCACCCCAAAGAUUGCCAGGGUUGAUUUAGCUGAUCUGGUUGGCUAGGGGGAUGUCCCCUUCCCUGACUACUCCAUGUGUGUACUUCCCUUCUGAAGAUGGGAAGAUGCACAUGCUGUCAGAAAAGAUGAAUUGACCUAAUGGAGGAGGACUGGUCUUUGAUCAAGGGUAUAUGAGUAGCUAUGCUCCCCAGCUGGAACCUUUAAACAGGCUCUCAGAACUAAGUGUGCAGUCCUUGGCCAUUGAGAUGUCCUGAGGCCAAGCUGUUU